RNAcentral lists this ribosomal RNA (558 nucleotides) under uncultured bacterium. RNAcentral's name for it is "partial 16S ribosomal RNA". It matches the Rfam family "Bacterial small subunit ribosomal RNA", at positions 355 to 905 of the family's 1533-position model. The record is from RNAcentral.
UAGGGAAUCUUCCACAAUGGACGCAAGUCUGAUGGAGCAACGCCGCGUGAGUGAAGAAGGUUUUCGGACCGUAAAGCUCUGUUGUUGGUGAAGAAGGAUAGAGGUAGUAACUGGCCUUUAUUUGACGGUAAUCAACCAGAAAGUCACGGCUAACUACGUGCCAGCAGCCGCGGUAAUCGUAGGUGGCAAGCGUUGUCCGGAUUUAUUGGGCGUAAAGCGAGCGCAGGCGGAAGAAUAAGUCUGAUGUGAAAGCCCUCGGCUUAACCGAGGAAUUGCAUCGGAAACUGUUUUCUUGAGUGCAGAAGAGGAGAGUAGAACUCCAUGUGUAGCGGUGGAAUGCGUAGAUAUAUGGAAGAAUACCAGUGGCGAAGGCGGCUCUCUGGUCUGCAACUGACGCUGAGGCUCGAAAGCAUGGGUAGCGAACAGGAUUAGAUACCCUGGUAGUCCAUGCCGUAAACGAUGAGUGCUAAGUGUUGGGAGGCUUCCGCCUCUCAGUGCUGCAGCUAACGCAUUAAGCACUCCGCCUAGGGGAGUACGACCGCAAGGUUGAAACUCAAA